AACUCGUGAAAAGAAAAGGAUUUGGCAAAAUCGCCGACUUGAAAGUAAGGUGUGAAGAAAAAGUAGAUUUGUAUUGUUGAUUGAUGUGUUGUUUUACAAGCCUUACGAGGUACCUAUUUAUACCCUAUUACAACUGAUUUCCUAACCGACUAGGAUUUAUCUCUAAUUUAAAGAUAACAAAUAUUUACACAUGAACACAACCCGCAUCGGAGUUGGUUAUUAUCAUCCCACGGGCCAAUCUUC
RNAcentral lists this long non-coding RNA (243 nucleotides) under Setaria italica (foxtail millet). Its description in RNAcentral is "long non-coding RNA (SITA_LNC001487)". Lineage: Eukaryota; Viridiplantae; Streptophyta; Magnoliopsida; Poales; Poaceae. The record is from RNAcentral.